RNAcentral lists this microRNA (22 nucleotides) under Sarcophilus harrisii (Tasmanian devil). Its description in RNAcentral is "Sha-Mir-7394-P2_3p (mature (guide))". Lineage: Eukaryota; Metazoa; Chordata; Mammalia; Dasyuromorphia; Dasyuridae. RNAcentral also lists the same sequence under 1 other name. The record is from RNAcentral.
UGUGACCUCAACAUAUGUGUUU